RNAcentral lists this long non-coding RNA (390 nucleotides) under Cyanistes caeruleus (blue tit). RNAcentral's name for it is "lncRNA (ENSCCEG00000014386.1)". The record is from RNAcentral. Lineage: Eukaryota; Metazoa; Chordata; Aves; Passeriformes; Paridae.
AUGUUUUUGGAUUCCUCCAGCAGCCAAGGGCACUUCAGUCCCCAGUGCUCCAGCUGGCAGUGCUGGUUAUGCAGCCCAAGCUGGGUAUGGAGUACUCCUGGGGAAGUGGAAUUGCCACCGCUGGAUCUGGACCUUGUUCUGGAGACACUGGAGGAGAUGCUUUCACCAUCUCUGCCUGAAAGGUCUCCCUCUGCUCAGGUCAAUGCUAGUGUUGCCCGUGGCUCUUCAGGAGGGGAGGCUGUGAACAAGGCUGCAGCAGAGGGAGCUUUGCCUGCUUGCAGGAGCUGUGUGAACAUUUGCCAGGAGCCCGAGGAGCUUGAUAUCCAUGUGAUCUACCUGGCCAGAAGGGCUGCCCUGCGUGGGAAGAAGGAUCAGAGGGAGAGCCUGUGA